Molecule: unclassified non-coding RNA, 300 nt
Filed under: uncultured Entoloma
Lineage: Eukaryota; Fungi; Basidiomycota; Agaricomycetes; Agaricales; Entolomataceae
Description: sequence contains ITS2
Rfam family: 5.8S ribosomal RNA (bases 1-52)
Source: RNAcentral
AACGCACCUUGCGCUCCUUGGUAUUCCGAGGAGCAUGCCUGUUUGAGUGUCAUGAAUUUCUCAACCUUUCUGGCUCUUACGAGCUAGUCAGGCUUGGAUUAUGGGAGCUGCUGGCUUUUUGAAGUCGGCUCUUCUGAAAUGCAUUAGCAAAAUCAUUGCUGCUCAUCAUUGGUAUGAUAAUUAUCUAUAUCAUUGAGAGUCGGUGUCCUUCAUUGGAGGAUUUUGCUCCUAACAGUCUUUCCGAAGACAAUCUCUGACCAUUUUGACCUCAAAUCAGGUAGGACUACCCGCUGAACUUAA